AUGUCAUGUUAUCGAUAUGUGAAUACAUAGCAUAUCAGAAGGCACACCCGGAGAACUGAAACAUCUUAGUACCCGGAGGAAGAGAAAGAAAAUUCGAUUCCCUUAGUAGCGGCGAGCGAAACGGGAAGAGCCCAAACCAACAAGCUUGCUUGUUGGGGUUGUAGGACACUCUAUACGGAGUUACAAAGGACGACAUUAGACGAAUCAUCUGGAAAGAUGAAUCAAAGAAGGUAAUAAUCCUGUAGUCGAAAAUGUUGUCUCUCUUGAGUGGAUCCUGAGUACGACGGAGCACGUGAAAUUCCGUCGGAAUCUGGGAGGACCAUCUCCUAAGGCUAAAUACUCUCUAGUGACCGAUAGUGAACCAGUACCGUGAGGGAAAGGUGAAAAGCACCCCGGAAGGGGAGUGAAAUAGAACCUGAAACCGUGUGCUUACAAGUAGUCAGAGCCCGUUAAUGGGUGAUGGCGUGCCUUUUGUAGAAUGAACCGGCGAGUUACGAUUUGAUGCAAGGUUAAGCAGUAAAUGUGGAGCCGUAGCGAAAGCGAGUCUGAAUAGGGCGUUUAGUAUUUGGUCGUAGACCCGAAACCAGGUGAUCUACCCUUGGUCAGGUUGAAGUUCAGGUAACACUGAAUGGAGGACCGAACCGACUUACGUUGAAAAGUGAGCGGAUGAACUGAGGGUAGCGGAGAAAUUCCAAUCGAACCUGGAGAUAGCUGGUUCUCUCCGAAAUAGCUUUAGGGCUAGCCUCAAGUGAUGAUUAUUGGAGGUAGAGCACUGUUUGGACGAGGGGCCCCUCUCGGGUUACCGAAUUCAGACAAACUCCGAAUGCCAAUUAAUUUAACUUGGGAGUCAGAACAUGGGUGAUAAGGUCCGUGUUCGAAAGGGAAACAGCCCAGACCACCAGCUAAGGUCCCAAAAUAUAUGUUAAGUGGAAAAGGAUGUGGCGUUGCCCAGACAACUAGGAUGUUGGCUUAGAAGCAGCCAUCAUUUAAAGAGUGCGUAAUAGCUCACUAGUCGAGUGACACUGCGCCGAAAAUGUACCGGGGCUAAACAUAUUACCGAAGCUGUGGAUUGUCCUUUGGACAAUGGUAGGAGAGCGUUCUAAGGGCGUUGAAGCAUGAUCGUAAGGACAUGUGGAGCGCUUAGAAGUGAGAAUGCCGGUGUGAGUAGCGAAAGACGGGUGAGAAUCCCGUCCACCGAUUGACUAAGGUUUCCAGAGGAAGGCUCGUCCGCUCUGGGUUAGUCGGGUCCUAAGCUGAGGCCGACAGGCGUAGGCGAUGGAUAACAGGUUGAUAUUCCUGUACCACCUAUAAUCGUUUUAAUCGAUGGGGGGACGCAGUAGGAUAGGCGAAGCGUGCGAUUGGAUUGCACGUCUAAGCAGUAAGGCUGAGUAUUAGGCAAAUCCGGUACUCGUUAAGGCUGAGCUGUGAUGGGGAGAAGACAUUGUGUCUUCGAGUCGUUGAUUUCACACUGCCGAGAAAAGCCUCUAGAUAGAAAAUAGGUGCCCGUACCGCAAACCGACACAGGUAGUCAAGAUGAGAAUUCUAAGGUGAGCGAGCGAACUCUCGUUAAGGAACUCGGCAAAAUGACCCCGUAACUUCGGGAGAAGGGGUGCUCUUUAGGGUUAACGCCCAGAAGAGCCGCAGUGAAUAGGCCCAAGCGACUGUUUAUCAAAAACACAGGUCUCUGCUAAACCGUAAGGUGAUGUAUAGGGGCUGACGCCUGCCCGGUGCUGGAAGGUUAAGAGGAGUGGUUAGCUUCUGCGAAGCUACGAAUCGAAGCCCCAGUAAACGGCGGCCGUAACUAUAACGGUCCUAAGGUAGCGAAAUUCCUUGUCGGGUAAGUUCCGACCCGCACGAAAGGCGUAACGAUUUGGGCACUGUCUCAACGAGAGACUCGGUGAAAUCAUAGUACCUGUGAAGAUGCAGGUUACCCGCGACAGGACGGAAAGACCCCGUGGAGCUUUACUGUAGCCUGAUAUUGAAAUUCGGCACAGCUUGUACAGGAUAGGUAGGAGCCUUUGAAACGUGAGCGCUAGCUUACGUGGAGGCGCUGGUGGGAUACUACCCUAGCUGUGUUGGCUUUCUAACCCGCACCACUUAUCGUGGUGGGAGACAGUGUCAGGCGGGCAGUUUGACUGGGGCGGUCGCCUCCUAAAAGGUAACGGAGGCGCUCAAAGGUUCCCUCAGAAUGGUUGGAAAUCAUUCAUAGAGUGUAAAGGCAUAAGGGAGCUUGACUGCGAGACCUACAAGUCGAGCAGGGUCGAAAGACGGACUUAGUGAUCCGGUGGUUCCGCAUGGAAGGGCCAUCGCUCAACGGAUAAAAGCUACCCCGGGGAUAACAGGCUUAUCUCCCCCAAGAGUUCACAUCGACGGGGAGGUUUGGCACCUCGAUGUCGGCUCAUCGCAUCCUGGGGCUGUAGUCGGUCCCAAGGGUUGGGCUGUUCGCCCAUUAAAGCGGUACGCGAGCUGGGUUCAGAACGUCGUGAGACAGUUCGGUCCCUAUCCGUCGUGGGCGUAGGAAAUUUGAGAGGAGCUGUCCUUAGUACGAGAGGACCGGGAUGGACAUACCUCUGGUGUACCAGUUGUCGUGCCAACGGCAUAGCUGGGUAGCUAUGUGUGGACGGGAUAAGUGCUGAAAGCAUCUAAGCAUGAAGCCCCCCUCAAGAUGAGAUUUCCCAACUUCGGUUAUAAGAUCCCUCAAAGAUGAUGAGGUUAAUAGGUUCGAGGUGGAAGCAUGGUGACAUGUGGAGCUGACGAAUACUAAUCGAUCGAAGACUUAAUCAA
RNAcentral lists this ribosomal RNA (2784 nucleotides) under Staphylococcus aureus. Its description in RNAcentral is "partial 23S ribosomal RNA". It matches the Rfam family "Bacterial large subunit ribosomal RNA". RNAcentral also lists the same sequence under 1 other name. The record is from RNAcentral. Lineage: Bacteria; Bacillati; Bacillota; Bacilli; Caryophanales; Staphylococcaceae.